Molecule: ribosomal RNA, 253 nt
Filed under: uncultured bacterium
Lineage: Bacteria
Description: partial 16S ribosomal RNA
Rfam family: Bacterial small subunit ribosomal RNA
Source: RNAcentral
UACGGAGGAUCCAAGCGUUAUCCGGAUUUAUUGGGUUUAAAGGGUGCGUAGGCGGCCCGUUAAGUCAGGGGUGAAAUACGGCAGCUCAAAUGUCGCAGUGCCUUUGAUACUGACGGGCUUGAAUGCGGAUGAGGUAGGCGGAAUGAGACAAGUAGCGGUGAAAUGCAUAGAUAUGUCUCAGAACUCCGAUUGCGAAGGCAGCUUACUAAGUCGUAAUUGACGCUGAUGCACGAAAGCGUGGGGAUCAAACAGG